GAUGAACGCUAGCGGCAGGCUUAACACAUGCAAGUCGAGGGGCAGCGGAGAGUAGCAAUACUCUGCCGGCGACCGGCGAAAGGGUGCGUAACGCGUGAGCAACUUGCCCGUAUCCGGGACAUAAGCGGUGGAAACGCCGUCUAAUUUCCCAUAACAACGAGGGCCGCAUGACCCAUGUUUGAAAGAUCCGUCGGAUACGGAUGGGCUCGCGAGACAUUAGCUAGUCGGCGUGGUAACGGCACACCGAGGCGACGAUGUCUAGGGGUUCUGAGAGGAAGGUCCCCCACACUGGAACUGAGACACGGUCCAGACUCCUACGGGAGGCAGCAGUGAGGAAUAUUGGUCAAUGGGCGCAAGCCUGAACCAGCCAUGCCGCGUGAAGGAAUAAGGCCCUAUGGGUCGUAAACUUCUUUUGUGGUGGAGCAAUAAGGUGCACGUGUGCAUCGAUGAGAGUACAUCACGAAUAAGCAUCGGCUAACUCCGUGCC
Molecule: ribosomal RNA, 487 nt
Filed under: uncultured bacterium
Lineage: Bacteria
Description: bacterial SSU rRNA
Rfam family: Bacterial small subunit ribosomal RNA
Source: RNAcentral